Molecule: ribosomal RNA, 253 nt
Filed under: uncultured bacterium
Lineage: Bacteria
Description: partial 16S ribosomal RNA
Rfam family: Bacterial small subunit ribosomal RNA
Source: RNAcentral
UACAGAGGUCUCAAGCGUUGUUCGGAUUCAUUGGGCGUAAAGGGUGUGUAGGUGGCGCGCUAAGUCGGGUGUGAAAUUUCGGAGCUUAACUCCGAAACUGCAUUCGAUACUGGCGUGCUUGAGGACUGGAGAGGAGACUGGAAUUCAUGGUGUAGCAGUGAAAUGCGUAGAGAUCAUGAGGAACACCGGUGGCGAAGGCGGCCAUCUGGACCGCAACUGACGCUGAGGCGCGAAAGCGUGGGGAGCAAACAGG